RNAcentral lists this small RNA (28 nucleotides) under Bombyx mori (domestic silkworm). Its description in RNAcentral is "ovarian small RNA-17752". The record is from RNAcentral. Lineage: Eukaryota; Metazoa; Arthropoda; Insecta; Lepidoptera; Bombycidae.
GUCCGAUCCGCCAAGUGAUGUAUGAUGC